UACGGGGGGGGCAAGCGUUGUUCGGAAUUACUGGGCGUAAAGGGCUCGUAGGUUGCCAACUAAGUCAGACGUGAAAUCCCUCAGCUUAACUGGGGAACUGCGUCUGAUACUGGAUGGCUUGAGUUUGGGAGAGGGAUGCGGAAUUCCAGGUGUAGCGGUGAAAUGCGUAGAUAUCUGGAGGAAUACCGGUGGCGAAGGCAGGUCUCUGGGCUGACACUGACGCUCAUGCACGAAAGCGUGGGGAGCAAACAGG
This 253-nucleotide ribosomal RNA is filed under the name uncultured bacterium. Its description in RNAcentral is "partial 16S ribosomal RNA". It matches the Rfam family "Bacterial small subunit ribosomal RNA", at positions 524 to 776 of the family's 1533-position model. The record is from RNAcentral.